Molecule: ribosomal RNA, 619 nt
Filed under: uncultured bacterium
Lineage: Bacteria
Description: bacterial SSU rRNA
Rfam family: Bacterial small subunit ribosomal RNA
Source: RNAcentral
GUUAAAGGCUACCAAGGCGACGAUCAGUAGCGGGUCUGAGAGGAUGAUCCGCCACACUGGGACUGAGACACGGCCCAGACUCCUACGGGAGGCAGCAGUGGGGAAUUUUGGACAAUGGGCGCAAGCCUGAUCCAGCCAUUCCGCGUGAGUGAAGAAGGCCUUCGGGUUGUAAGCUCUUUCGGCAGGAACGAAACGGCGGGCCCUAACAUUGCCUGUUACUGACGGUACCUGCAGAAGAAGCACCGGCUAACUACGUGCCAGCAGCCGCGGUAAUACGUAGGGUGCGAGCGUUAAUCGGAAUUACUGGGCGUAAAGCGUGCGCAGGCGGAUUGUUAAGCAAGACGUGAAAUCCCCGGGCUUAACCUGGGAAUGGCGUUUUGAACUGGCAGUCUAGAGUGCGUCAGAGGGGGGUGGAAUUCCACGUGUAGCAGUGAAAUGCGUAGAGAUGUGGAGGAACACCGAUGGCGAAGGCAGCCCCCUGGGAUGACACUGACGCUCAUGUACGAAAGCGUGGGUAGCAAACAGGAUUAGAUACCCUGGUAGUCCACGCCCUAAACGAUGUCAACUGGUUGUUGGGGGAGUGAAAUCCCUUAGUAACGAAGCUAACGCGUGAAGUGAC